AUACGUAGGGUGCGAGCGUUGUCCGGAAUGAUUGGGCGUAAAGGGAGCGUAGGCGGCGCGGUAAGUCUGGAGUGAAAGCCCUGCUUUCAAGGUGGGAAUUGCUUUGGAUACUGCCGCGCUUGAGUGCAGGAGAGGUUAUCGGAAUUCCCGGUGUAGCGGUGAAAUGCGUAGAGAUCGGGAGGAACACCAGUGGCUAAGGCGGAUAACUGGACUGCAACUGACGCUGAGGCGCGAAAGUGUGGGGAGCAAACAGGAUUAGAUACCCUGGUAGUCCACACUGUAAACGAUGAAUGCUAGGUGUAAGAGGUAUCGACCCCUUUUGUGCCGGAGUCAACACAAUAAGCAUUCCGCCUGGGGAGUACGGCCGCAAGGUUGAAACUCAAAGGAAUUGACGGGG
This 397-nucleotide ribosomal RNA is filed under the name uncultured bacterium. RNAcentral's name for it is "partial 16S ribosomal RNA". It matches the Rfam family "Bacterial small subunit ribosomal RNA", at positions 523 to 918 of the family's 1533-position model. The record is from RNAcentral.